This 301-nucleotide ribosomal RNA is filed under the name uncultured bacterium. RNAcentral describes it as "partial 16S ribosomal RNA". It matches the Rfam family "Bacterial small subunit ribosomal RNA", at positions 509 to 807 of the family's 1533-position model. The record is from RNAcentral.
CAGUAGCCGCGGUAAUACGAAGGGGGCUAGCGUUGUUCGGAUUUACUGGGCGUAAAGCGCACGUAGGCGGAUCGAUCAGUCAGGGGUGAAAUCCCAGAGCUCAACUCUGGAACUGCCUUUGAUACUGUCGAUCUGGAGUAUGGAGGAGGUGAGUGGAAUUCCGAGUGUAGAGGUGAAAUUCGUAGAUAUUCGGAGGAACACCAGUGGCGAAGGCGGCACACUGGUCCAUUACUGACGCUGAGGUGCGAAAGCGUGGGGAGCAAACAGGAUUAGAGACCCGCGUAGUCCCUGUCUCUUAUAC